UUUUUUUUUUUGGUUUUAGGUUUGAAAUUCAUGAAUAUAUUUUAUAGUGUACUAUGCUUAUGGAAAUAGAGGAUAUAUAGACCACAACUAGUUUGGAAUUGAGGCGUAAUAGGUCAUUGAUUGAUAUAAUUAAUUGUACAUAUGGGAUAUAUAAGACUCAUGUAGUGAACUCCAACUAGUUUGAGGUUGAGGUAGAGUUGCUCGUUAAUUGAUAUAAUUGUCUGUGCUAUAAUAUAGAAGAUUUACAAGUAAUUUGAGGUUGUGGUGUAGUUGAUCAUUAAUCAAUAUAAUUUAAUGCAUUUAUGGUAGGGUUUGUGGAGUGGUUGAUUGUUGAUUCAUAAAUCUGUGCUUAUAGAUAUAGAAAACUUAUAGUCGAACCCAAAUAGUUUGGGAAUGAGGUAUAGUCUUUUAUCUUCUUUUUUUUUUUGGGAUAAGUAGGAUUGAUGUGUAGUUUUAUGGUUAUUGACUGUGCUUAUGGAUGUAUUGAUUCAUACAACUGACCGUAAAUAGUUUGUAUUGAUGCAUAGUUGAUCUUUGAUUGACAUGACAUAGUUGACUCUGCUUAUUUGAUGUGGAUCUGAAUUGAUUUGUAAUCAAAUCUUUAACAUUUUGCAUGUGAUUGUGAGUCUUAAUAGUUCUUUUAGAGGUGGAUCUAGAAUUUGAAGUUAGUGACUCGGAUAAAUUGAAGUUUAUUAGGUGGAGACAUUUUUGAAACCUUUAGCAAAGAUGUACUGUACGAGCCAUUUGGUUAAACCUAAUGUUAAGUGCUUUACUGGACCUUUUUCCUAUAUAAGAAUCUCGACACAUCUUAUAAGGGAAAAUACAUCUUUAUUUUGGCGAGACAGAAGUUUUUCUACUACCUAUACAGCUAUACUAAAACUUUGCCUUGAAAGAGACUGAUGAUGAAUGCAAACCAUAAGUGAUAGACUUGCAGCUAUAGACUUAUCUUGAUAGUUUAGAUGAGUAACAUGGUAUUAAAGUAUGCCAAUUUUAUGUUAUAUCUCUAUUUUCAUUCCUGGCUAAUUUUUUUUUUUGAAUACUUGGUCAAUGUUAGACCUACUAUUUGAUCUAAUAUCAUGAUGAUUUUGAAGAUAUGAUCAAGCAAGAUGGUACGGGAUUUUACUAAUUCAUCGAAAAAUACUGAUUUUUGAGUAACCUACUAUUUGAUCUAAUAUCAUGAUGAUUUUGAAGAUAUGAUCAAGCAAGAUGGUACGGGAUUUUACUAAUUCAUCGAAAAAUACUGAUUUUUGAGUAGUUUAAUGAUAAAUAACUUGUGAGGCUAAGAUUUAUACCAUGACCACCUGCCAUAUCUUGUUAAUUUCACUACACUGUGUAUAUUCAGGAUUUUUGAUUCACCUAAUGAUGAUUCAAGCAAUUCAAACACGACUUCUGAGUUCAAAACCAAACCUGACGGUUUAAUGAUAAAUAACUUGUGAGGCUAAGAUUUAUACCAUGACCACCUGCCAUAUCUUGUUAAUUUCACUACACUGUGUAUAUUCAGGAUUUUUGAUUCACCUAAUGAUGAUUCAAGCAAAUCAAACACGACUUCUGAGUUCAAAACCAAACCUGACGGUUUAAUGAUAAAUAACUUGUGAGACUAAGAUUUAUUCCAUGACCACCUGCCAUAUCUUGUUAAUUUACUACACUGUGUAUAUUCAGGAUUUUUGAUUCACCUAAUGAUGAUUCAAGCAAUUCAAACACGACUUUUGAGUUCAAAAACAAACCUGAUGGCUGGGAAACCACUUCAAAAACACAAGAUGGGAAUAUAUGGGAGAUGUCGCAAAGAGAAGAAGAUAUCUUAGUCCAAGAAUUUGAACGCCGAAUUGCAUUCAACAAAUUCCAGGUUUGUGGAGAAAAUCCGAUUUUAUAAAUUCAAGCUUGGUUUUCGGACGAUUUUCUUCUUCUUUGUACUUGGAUUUACUGCACUCGAACCGGGUUUUUUUCAAAAACAGCCUCUCUACCUCUAUGAGGUAGUGGUUAGGACCGCACUUGUGGGAUUCCACUGGGUAUGCUGUUGUUGUUGUUGUUGUUAAGCUUGGUUUCUGGACGAACUUCUUGUUAGAUCUGGUGAAUCAGUAAUCUUUGGUUAGAAAUAUGUCUUUUUCCCACAAGCAUACUAGUUUGCUUAGAUCUUUCUUUUUUUCUUUCCCUUUUAUAUGUUUCCCUCGAUAAGAAAGGUAUCAAAAUCCUUUUAACUACACAGACCAAGUUAGGCAAGAUUGUGCUACUUAUUAACAAAAACAGCUAACUCAUCCAAACAUUACAAGAGUUGAACUAGAAGUGUAUUUUUCUGUUGAGCAUCCAGGACUUGUCUUUGAUGAAGACACUGAACCUGAAGGACUGAUGAAAUUUCAGUCAUUUUUGUUUUUGGACAAGUCACUUUCAGUCUUUCACAACAGUUUAUGAAAUGAAAAAGAAGAAUAAAAACCAAGCAAGAUAAUAAGCUUACCAUCUCCUCUACUAGGAUCUCCAUUAGUUCACGGGGCAAGGAAUAAAUUAUUGUUCUAUUAAAAUCUUCUAUUUUAUGAAAUGUCGGUGGGCUACCAGAAUGUUCUGCCUAAUAAUUUCCCAGCAGCCUUUGAUGUAGGCAAAAUGAAAACUGUCUGAUCUUUGAAGCCUCUUCCUCUUACAUUGUAGAGCCAAUACUGAAUAUUCCUCUGAGAUUGGCUUUUCUAGUCACUCAAGAUUUUUCUUGCGAAGGCAUUGGGAUACCUUUACGUUGUCGCAUCUCAAUGGAUCUCUCUGCAUAGGUUUCCAUAAGUUGCACUACCACAUUCCUCGGUCUUCCUUUAACUACUACUUCCCUCUUAUAUGGAUGUCACCAAUGUGGUAUUUCCUCCGAGCAGUGUAUAUUUAGGGGGAAGAACUUUUGUUCUAGCCUCCUUCCAUUACUAGAGAAGUGAAGGCAGGUGCCCUCAACAAAUCUUUUUGACCAAAUAUAGCCCUCUGAACUCCCUUCCUAUUCAUCUUCUUGGAGGUCCACAUCUUUGGUGGUAAUCACUCUCUUUGGAGCUAGCCAUUUCUGAUAGCUAGUCUACGCUCUACUUUUGAUCCUAGCUUUACAUUGUUCACUGAGUAUGUUUACCUUGCCUUGUAAUCCUAGUAUAUUAUUGAUCAAUAAAAUUGGUGGUUGGUGGAUACCUUGGUCAGUAGCAUGAUGGCUUGGCACCUUCUUUUUUCUCGAAUCUUCACUAUUCCCACGAGGUAGUGGUAAGGUCUGCCUACAUUCUACCUCUCCCCAGACCUCACUUGUGGAUAUCACUGGGCAUGUUGUUGUUGUUGCUUCACUCUCGAACAAUACAAGCUUGAAGAGAUACUUCAUUCUCCAAUUUCACGUCCUCAAAGCCCAGUUCCAUCACAUCCUUAUCAGUUGAACAAUUCCAAGAUUUUAUGGUACUUGAAUGGUGACUUGUGAGUUAUUCGUAGACAGGAAUUAUAUCUACAUGUUUCUCUUAUGUUUGAUAGACCUCAUUUUGAAUUAUCUUCUGCUUAUCACCCAAAGGGUGGUGGUCAAUGAAGUGGAUUGACAACCAUGAGGUCUCCGGUUAAAAUCCUAGUAGAGAAAAUUUUAGGGUGAUUUCUUCUCAUCCAUCCAAGCCUUGGUGGAGAGAGUUAUCUGGUACAUGUACUGGUGGGAGGUAGCAGAUGCCCCUUAGAAUUUGUCGAGGAGCUCGCAAGCUAGCACUACGGUUGUAAAAAGAAUAAAUCUUUUGGCUAUACUGGACAGUUUUCUGAAGAAAAAUUGUAUCUUUAAUGUGUUCAUUUUAACAUGUACUAACUAUUCCUCUGUGAUUAUGUUCGCUAAUGGAUAAUAGCAAAUCAGUAAAAGAAUAUUAGUCUGAUUUAUAAGGCUCUGACAUUGGAUAGUGAAACAUUGUGAUGUAUUGUUUGCUUUUGUUUCUAAUGCUGCAUAAAUGUUGAUUAUGCAGAUUGCCAGUUUUAUUAAAACCCAUUUAUUUAGUCGGAGGAGGCCUAUAGAUGGUUGGAAGUAUAUGAUAGAGGAGAUCGGUCCAAAUGCCAGAAAAGGGAAGGGCAGUGUUUCAAGGUUACCUAGUAUAGCAGAUGCAUCAACUCGACCUUUCAGGGAGGAAGAUACAUCGUCCCACACUACUUUCCCCUCUAAUCGGGGGAGGACUGAAAGGAGGUAGCAUUUUGUAAAUUCUUUUUCUUAGAACAGAGUGACAUUGCCAAAUCUGGGUAUGCAUGUUGUAAAAUUAGUAUUGAACUUGUAAGUUAUAUUGAAUUAACAGAAUUUUCCACAGGCCCUAUUGGUGAAUAGAAAAUUAUUUUCUUUUCCAUCUAGAUAAGUUUUAUUGUAUUUACAUCACUAUCUGAAUUGGCAAUAAGGCCAUAUGCCUUUUUAGGUUUGGGAUAAUCACAGUGUCCAUUAUUCUGGCAAUCGGAGAACUUGAGCAUGUUAGAUUAUCAUGCCCCAAAACAGGGUGAGACGUUAUUUAUGCAGCCUUACUUACCUUGCGAAAGUAGAGGUUGUCUAGAUUAUAUAUAUAAAAAAUUAUAAUACUUUUUAACUUACAUAUCAAACAAGUAAAAAACUAUUUUCCAAAGAAAAACAUAUUUUUUCAUAGUGGACACACCUAGAGCAUCAUAAUUGUAUAGCACUAAAAAUACAAAAAGUAUUCACUUUACUCUACACAAAUAUAAGUAACUCUUAGCAUAAUCUCUACUUUUGAUCACACCAUUAAACUUGCAACCUUUUACACCUCCCUAACAUCCACCUUAAUCUGAAAUGAUUAAUGUUAUCUUAUUACUAAUAAUUUUUUUGUAUACCUCUAUCACUAAAUAAAAGCAUAAAAAUUCAUAUUGUACACACUUAAUGUAUACUUGGAAAAAAGGCGAAAACUCUUUUGUUCUCUAUAUACUCUUGUCUACAAUACGAUUGUUUUAUAUUGCUCUAUUUUAUUUUAUUACAUAAAAGCUUAUGAUUUAUAUAAAUGGAAAACAUUGUCCGUCAUAUAAUUGACCAACUAUUUGAAGCGUAGUUACACAACGAAAAAUAUACACAAAACACUCAAGCAAACGCAAACCAUCAUUAGUGGAGAAAUACGAUUAACCACUUCGACCGACCUUCUAACAAGUAUCACAAGUAUAGUAAAUUUUGCACUCAUUUAUAGAACAUUGAGAAUGGUAUUGAAGUUUUUGAUUGUGUGGCAAAGAACCAACAGAUCCAUAGGAGGAAAAAACUUGCUGCUAGCAUUAAGUUUCAAAACUUGAGGCUCAAAGGAAAAUCAACGAAGACAACAUUCCCGUAAAGGGAUAGAAGUAUGGACAUCAUUCCUAGAAGUAACAAUUAAAAUGGAAGCAUCAAGCUCAUAUUCCGGUAAAAGCUUUUUUCCCGCCACCACCAGAACCAGCUGGAAUCACCUUUAAGACAUUGAACCUCACGGUUUUGGAUAAAGGCCUGUAAAGCAUAAAAUGUUAUCACCUACAGUAACAACAAAUAAUGAAAAAAAACUACAGAAAAAUCAAAAUAAGAUGGUCCUAACCUGCACUGUCCAAUAGUAACAUGAUCUCCCUCUUUCACACGGAAGCAUGGUGAUAUGUGAGCUGGGAUAUUUGAGUGCCUCUUCUCGUAUCUGAAAUAACUUGUGUUAAAACUAAAAAAAGAAGAAGUGAAGCAGCCAAAAAUAGUAUAAGUGACAAGCCUUGCCUCUGAUACUUCUUGACAUAAUGUAGGUAAUUGCGACGAACGAUGAUGGUUCUGUUCAUCUUAGCACUGUGGCAUGUACCAGCAAGGAUACGACCUCGGAUAGAAACAUUUCCAGUGAAUGGGCAUUUCUUGUCAAUAUAUGUACCUAAAUUUAAAUAUGCCAAACUCAAGGUUAGACCACAGAACAAGGUGAAAUCAAGGAAAUCCAUAAAAUAAUCAAAUGAUAUCUGGCGCAGGAGAUAUAAAAGAUGACUUGAAAUCUUGUUCUUAAAGUCAGUCUUAACUAUCUAACGUCUAGAAAACAUCAUUGCUAACAAGCAACAUGUUCCACAUAAAGGUCACACAAAUAGCAAUUUAAGAAGCAUCUUUUAUUUACUAUUACUUAAAUGUAAGUAAAUGCAGUCUCUUGGAAUGCCCACACAAGAAAUUUACCGCGUGCUAUUGAAGUAGGAAACAAAAAGGAAUAAAUAAGCUCAAAUCCAAUCCACUGCUGUUUUCCUCCGAAAUUAUACCAUUUUGAUUCAGUACUUUUUCGAUAUAUUAAGGUCAGCCACUUCACAACCAUAUAAUAUUGAGACCCAGCUACACCAAAUGACAGUAAUUGAAGGGUUUUAUCCACAGUAUCAUAUCCUAUGUAAGCUCUACAAAUGUAAACAAAUGCUAGUGAAGAACUUUGGCUUAAUAAAAAAUUCUGUAGAAGAUUUAAAAGAAAAUCAAGAGAAAGCCACAUAACUGGUCAAAGCAAGACAGUACCUUAACACAGAUGGAUAACUUUCACCCCACGUCAUCUUAAUAACCCGAGUCCCCAGCUAAUAAGAAGUUCUACAACAAGUAUAUCGUGUUUCCCUUAUGUACUCAAAUUGCAUUAAACCAUAUUUCAUGCAAUUCAGACGCAUGGCAAAUAACUUCAUUAUAGAAAGAAACAUCUACCAAAUUGAAACUACAAUGGAAACUUAAUAGAAAGAUUUACCUAGUGUCAACCACAUUGAAAAAAACUUUAACUUUUUUUUGAGAUAAGGGUAACUAUGAAAAAAGCUUUAACUUCUUACUAUGAAGAUUUACCAAAUGCCAACUAAGUUGCAGAAGUAAGUUUUUGGCCAUUUACAGCAAGGAGACCCAUUGCUUAAGGCGUGAACAAUAUGUACAUCGGCCUUAAUCCUAAACUAGUUGGCACUCAAUACACAAUAUAGAAAGAAAAGAAGCUACUUUGCAUAGAUCAAAAGUGGAAAUUGAAAACUAGUCUUAUAAACUUUGUGUUCGGCUUCACUCAGAUCAUAAUAACAUAUACAACAAAACUAUAUUCACUAUGCUAAUAUCUAAAAUAUAAAUCAACAAUGCAGAAAGAAAUGAAAUACAGUAAUUGUUUAAUUAGAGGAAACUAGUUGGCACUCAAUACAUCAAGACAGCAUGGAAAGAAAAGAAGCUAAUUUGCAUAGAUCAAAGGUGGAAAUCGAAAACUAGUCUUAUAUAAUUUUACGAGAACAAAUGAAAUAGAAUUAAACAAAAUGAAUAUGUACCUUCAGUAGCCUCACGAGGAGUCUUGAAUCCUAAACCAAUACUCUUAAAGUAUCGAUUGCCUCCCUUUCCUGGCCUCUUUCCCUUCCCCGUCUUCUUAGAGCUGCCGAGAUCAAAUAAAAAAAAAACAAAACGCAAAUCUUAGGCUCAAAUUCCUUCAACUUAACAGUAAAUGCAUAUAGCAUUUGUCAGAUGCUCACCUUAGAAAAACACCUGGCUGCUUCAAAAACGCCUUCUCUGUCUGCAGCACAAAGUAAAUUCAUUAGAUUUUCUCUAUAAUAGAUAAUAAUGUACAUGGAAGAUGAGAUAGAGAUAGAUAGACGGACCUGCUCCGCCAUGACUGAGGAUUACCAAGACGCAAAACUCAACGAGGAUAGCUUAUCGGUAAUAAAAACCCUAGUUUACAGGCUGCAGCAAAGAAUGAAGACUUAGAGAAGCUUAUGUCUUCUAUUGGGUUAGAUACUGCGGACUGGACUUGCAAAUUGGGCCAACUUACGGAUGGGCUUAAAAUCCAACUAAAUAUAUCUAAAGUUAAACAUGACUCAAGUUCAGAUAAAAAUGUCCAAAGUUUAAAUAAAAUAAUUUAAUUUUUCACUCAUAUAAAAUUUUAAACAUAGAUGUUCCAAAACUCAAUGACAUAGCUUAAAUAGUGGUUCAAAAAAUAGCUAUGUGUGCAUUUCAAGACACUAAAAUUGAGGGGUGAUAAUGUUCACACUUUGGUAUGACAUGGUUAGUUCUAUAGUAUAAUUAUGGUCGAACCUUUCUAUUUUAGCCAUUUGAUCAUGUUUUGAUUUUUUAUCACAAAUAUAAUAGAGCAAAUCUAUUUACAUGAAAGAUGGAAAUAGGAGAGUUACACAGUGAGGAAUCAAAAUAAGCAUCGAAUUAUGCUUCCGACUGACCAACCAUUUCUUGAUGCUGGUUAUUUAUAAAAAAAAUUGUUGGUUGUAUUCAAAAUGCACUGUUCAUGCCAUUUGCAAAAUUUACACAAUGAUGUGUAGUAAGUUGUAAAUUGUUAGCAUCCUACCUUUUGCAGACAGAAUUGCCUCAAAAAUAAAUUAGAAAUUACAUUUCAGUUUGCAUUAUAUAAAUAAUGUUAAGUUGGUUUAGUCUUAAAUUGUCUUUUUUUAGUUAAAAUCAGGGAUAAGGGUUUGAAAAAUAUCCCAACUUUGGUCGGAUUUGCUGUUGCGAUACUAAACUUUCAUAAGGACUUAUUACCUCCCUAGACUAUUUAAUACCGUAUUUUAAACAUAUAUAUUUGUCCAUGUGGACAUAAAAAAUAAUGAAAAAUUAUAAAUAAUAAUGUGUUCACAUGAGCACAUAUAUACCUUUAAAAUACACUAUUAAAUAGUUCAGGGGGUAAAAAAUACGGUAUUAAAUAGUCUAGGGAGGUAAUAAGUCCUUAUGAAAGUUUAGUAUCGCAACAGCAAAUCCGACCAAAGUUGGGGUAUUUUUCAAACCCUUAUCCCUUAAAAUCAAAUCAAACUUAAGCAUAGUUGUUUUUUUACCCACAAUAUCAAAGCAAGUCAAACCAAAUCACUAGUCAGAUUUUUUUUUUACAAUUUGUGAUUUGGUUCGACUUUGUACUCCUAAUCAAAAGUUUAUAGAUCUGUAAUUUUUUAUGCACGACAUAAUUGUAGUCAAACAUCUCUAUAACAGUCUCUCAAUAUAGGUUUGCUGAAUUAGCUUCAAUUUGUAGAUUAAUUCGUUAGCAUGAUUUGUUAUUUGCAUACAAAAAAAAACAACAGAAAUAUAGCUUCUACUAUGUUUUCUUACUGAAAGAAUAGAGAUGAAUCAUUGUGCUUGUGGUGUUGAUACACAAUGUAAUAUUUGAUUCCAUAAAUUAACUAUGUGAACGAAGAAAUGUCUCUUCUGAUUGCAGCCUUGGCUAAGCCUCGUCUCUCUCUUGCUUUGGCAAUUACCAUCCAUAACAAUAACGUCCCAACUGUAAUUCCAUAAGCUACAAAGAAUGGAGUGUCCACAAAUACUUAACCCUACCAUUAGAGGUAGAGAUAUCAUUUCCAAAAACGAUACAUCGCAUUCCUCGACUAAAUUUAACUUGGUAUGUUCUGUUCGUAUUCAAAUGCUUGAUAGCUUCUUGUUUCAGUGGUACUCAGGAUAACCCAAGUUAAAAUCUUGAUUUUAUCCAGUUAGUAAGACUAGAAUACCGCUGCUAUUUCAAGAAAACAAACUUGCUAGCAUAUUAAGUUUCAAAAUUUGAAGAUAACUCAGUAGAAGCAGAAAAGUUUUGACAUCAUAUUCCUACAAAAAAAACAAAUUUUGAAAUGGAGGAAUGAAGAUUACAUCCCGGUAAAAGCUUUUUUCCCUCCACCACCAGAACCAGCUGGAAUCACCUUUAAGACAUUGAACCUCACGGUUUUGGAUAAAGGCCUG
This 9574-nucleotide long non-coding RNA is filed under the name Solanum tuberosum (potato). RNAcentral describes it as "long non-coding RNA (STUB_LNC006826)". The record is from RNAcentral. Lineage: Eukaryota; Viridiplantae; Streptophyta; Magnoliopsida; Solanales; Solanaceae.